ACAGCUCAGUAACACGUAGCUAACCUACCCUAAGGACGGAGAAAACCCCGGGAAACUGGGGUUAAUCUCCGAUAGGUGUGAUGUCCUGGAAUGGUAUCACGCCCAAAGGUGCUAACGACAUGUUGUUAUCAUGCCUUAGGAUGGGGCUGCGGCUGAUCAGGCAGUUGGUGAGGUAACGGCUCACCAAACCUUUGACCAGUACGGGCCAUGAGAGUGGUAGCCCGGAGAUGGGCACUGAGACAAGGGCCCAGGCCCUAAGGGGCGCAGCAGGCGCGAAACCUCCUCAAUGCACUCACGUGCGAAGGGGUUAUCUCGAGUGCUAUCUGAAGAAGAUGGCUUUUAACUCGUUUAACAAGCUAAUUGAAUAAGAGGGGGGCAAGACUGGUGUCAGCCGCCGCGGUAACACCAGCCCCUCGAGUGGUGGGGAUGAUUAUUUGGCCUAAAGCGUCCGUAGCCGGCCAUGUAAGUCCCCCGUUAAAUCCAGCGUCUCAAGCGUUGGACUGCGGGAGAUACUGCAAGGCUAGAGGGUGGGAGAGGUAAGCGGUAUUCUGGGGGUAGGGGCGAAAUCCUUUGAUCCCCGGAGGACCACCAGUGGCGAAGGCUGCUUACUAGAACACGCCUGACGGUCAGGGACGAAAGCUGGGGUAGCGAACCGGAUUAGAUACCCGGGUAGUCCCAGCCGUAAACGAUGCAUGCUAGGUGUUGGGUCGGCCAUGAGCCGCCCCAGUGCCGCAGGGAAGCCGAUAAGCAUGCCGCCUGGGGAGUACGGCCGCAAGGCUGAAGCUUAAAGGAAUUGGCGGGGGAGCACCACCAGGCGUGAAGCCUGCGGUUUAAUUGGAUUCAACGCCGGA
RNAcentral lists this ribosomal RNA (851 nucleotides) under uncultured archaeon. RNAcentral describes it as "bacterial SSU rRNA". It matches the Rfam family "Archaeal small subunit ribosomal RNA", at positions 85 to 922 of the family's 1478-position model. The record is from RNAcentral.